AAUUUUCAGACAAAUCUGACAACCCGUUGAUGGAUUGCUGCCCCCAAAUUAGUAAUUUGAAGGAAAUUUUGCAGAGUUUGGUUAUUAUCUUAAAUAUUAUUAUAGAUAGAGAUAAACUGUAAACAGCAAUAAUGUUCUGCAAAGUAAGAUCUACGAAUAGGUCAAUAUGACCAAAAUUUUAAGUUGACCCCUUAAAGAGUUAUUGCCCUUUAUAGUCAAUUUUUAACAAUUUUCAUAAAUUUUUGUAUUUUUUGUUAAUUUUUAAAAAAAUUUUCAACUGUAAAUACUGGGCCAUGUUUAUUAUAGAUAGAGAUAAUGGUAGCACCAAGAAUGUUCAGUAAAGAAAGAUCUACAAACACAUUCCCAUCAUCAAAAACACAAUUUUUGUCAUUUUAUAUGUGUCCGUUGUUUAAUAUGCACAUAGACCGUCCAAGGUGAGCGACACAGGCUCUUGAGAGUCUCUAGGUCAUUAAUACAGGUAGAUAACUUUAUCAUGUUUAUACUGAAAAAUAAUUUUGCAUGGAGGGAGAAUUUUAAAAAAGUUCUGUCUUCAAAAGAGUUGACAUGUUACUAUGUACAUUAACCAUUAUGUUACUUGAUGUUCUAGCAAUACAC
This 615-nucleotide long non-coding RNA is filed under the name Mytilus galloprovincialis (Mediterranean mussel). The record is from RNAcentral. Lineage: Eukaryota; Metazoa; Mollusca; Bivalvia; Mytilida; Mytilidae.